Molecule: long non-coding RNA, 11508 nt
Organism: Daucus carota subsp. sativus
Lineage: Eukaryota; Viridiplantae; Streptophyta; Magnoliopsida; Apiales; Apiaceae
Exons: 4
Source: RefSeq, a predicted model, not a curated record
GGGAAUAAGAUUUAAUAUUUUAUUCCAGUUUAAUGAGUUUUCAAAGUUUUAUAUUAAACCCCGGGUUAUUGUGUUAUUGAUAAAUAAUUGUAUUUUUAAAACUGAUUUUCAUAUAUUGUUUUGAAAAUUUUAGAUGAUUAUUAUGUGAAUAUAUGUGUGAUGUGAGUAAGUGGUAUUGGUGGAUUUGUUGGUUAAUUAAUUAUGGUUAAUUAUGAGUAUUAUAUGAUUAAUAUAUGAAUUUUUGUGAAUUUUAUAUUAUCUGGUUUAUUGCGUUAACUGCUCAUAUGUGUUCGUAUUUGAGAGAUUUCAAAUUCUAUAUGCUCAGGAGAAAAUAUAGUUUAUUUGGAUAUUUUCAUAUCGAUUUAUGGAAUGUUAGAUGAUUUUAUAAUCGAUUUACGGAUUUAAUUGUGUAUAUUUAUAUUUAUUUAUUAAUUAUGUGACUUCCGUAAAACCGUCCACUCGUAACGGUGUAGCGAUUUUUCUUCCCGGAAGUUUCGAGAAAACUUACCUUUAGCCUAAUUUCAAUAUUCCGGACAUUUUUCGUGUUUUGACUUUUUCGAUCCGGAGUACGGUUUUCCCCGGAGUCGGUCCGGCGGAGUUUUUCGGGUAUUUUAAUUGUUGAUAAUUAUCCAGUUUGUCUCGAUAAGCGUGAAACGAGAUAUUUUGAUUAUUAUAUUCAUCCUUAUCUUGUAAUAAUUGCAAUGGGACCCGCAGACCAAUAAUUGAGUUAAAAAGCCCCGUUUUGAUGAUUAUCUCGAAAACCGGUACCGAUUGGACCCCGCUUUAUUAAUAUAAAGCUAUUAAAUACGUAUUUUCAUGUCAUAAACGAUCCAAAGAGGUACCAAUUAUUUGUAAAUAUAAAUAGACUUUCCUGUAACUUAUUUUCACCGUAGAAAUCAUUUCAACAGUUUCUCUGCACGAAUAUCGAGAGAAACCGAGCGGUGUUCUUCGUGUUCUUCAUAAUCAAACGAAGAUUUGAAGGUGUUAUUGGAAUCCGAUGGAGGCGUAUAAAUAGUCAAAACGAAGCUAUCGACGCGUAGAAUCAAGCUUAAUCAUCCGGUUAUAUGCAGAUUCAACAGGAUGUGGACGAGACGUGUACGCUCGAAGACGUCAGAAAGUCGGAAUGGUAUUGCAAAGCGAAUAAGGGAUGAUUGAGUAAGCGAAGCGAAGUGGCGAAUAGAGUAUAGCUAGAGAUGGUCUAGAGAUUACGAGAUGCAUAGAUUGUGAAAGUUGAAAGAUGAGGUUGAGCUAUGAAACUGGAGUCAGAUUUAAGGCAAGUAUCCUAAACCUUUCUCUUGGAUAUAUUGCAAAUAUUCUGAUCCAUUCCUUUGGUAUCUGUUGCAAGAAUUCGUACCUUUCCUUUCUAUAUUUAAAAGUGCAUAUGUUCGGAUCUAUUCUUUCUAUUCUUCAAGUUUCUAAAGAAUUUCCAUUUUAUUAAUUAAUUCGAAGUUCAGAUUGUCAUUGAAGCAUGUGUUGCUCAGUGAUAGUUGGAGCUUUGAAUGAAUUGGGAUCUUCUUGAUUAUUCAACCCGCCAUUGUCAUGCUGGUUUAGCAGGCUAAAUUCAGUUGCUUAGCCGAUAAUGGAGGAUACUGAAUAGUUGAGGAUUUCCUGAACUGUGAUUUAUGAAAUGAUGGAUCAUGAUUUAUGAAUAGAUUAUUAUCAAAGUUUGAAUUGGAAUUAUUCUGUUGUUGAUGAUAUUUAUGAUGAUGUUCUGUUAAUUUACAUUGGCUUCUUGAAUUGAAUUAGAGAAUUGGAUUAUUGUUUUUAUAUAAACCUGUGGACCAGAUUCGUGGUCAUGUUAGGCCAAUGAGUGCCUUGGAUCCAGUGAUAGAGCAUGGCGGGGCCUGCUCGGGGUUAGUGCGGAACUGAUCAGCUGCCUAACCUUGGUUUUAAUUAAAAUGUGAUAGUCCAAUUCAAUAAUUCUUUGGAAAGAUUGAAUUUCUCAGUUUAAAUGCUGCAAGGUAUUGUAAAUCAUUCUAUACAAUACCAUGAACUCAUGAAAUCAGGUUGAAUCCUCUUAUAUCUUGAACUCGUGAACUUUUGUUAUAUCAUUUCAGAACUAUCAUUGUUUAUUAUUACUUGCUGAGCAUUGUUGCUCACCCUUGCUAUUCCUUUCUAACCAUUUCAGAAAGGCUUAAAGUUGAGAUGAUUGAUUGAGAUUGUGGAUAAGGCUAAUGCUAGGCGAGGAGACAGAGUUGAGGAUCCAGUGGUUGAGGAGUGUUCAGGAAAGUUGAUGAGGUUGGUGCAAGCUAGAGCUGUGCUAUAGGGUUUCAAGUGUAAGUCAUAGCUGGAAUAGUUGACAGUGAUUCCUCUUAUCGAAGAUGAUCUGAUUUGGUAAGAAAUGCUGUGUAAUAUUAGUGGUGGAUUCUAAUUUCAAUACUGUAACCUGGAUGCGAUCCUGUUGUUUUAGGGGGUUGAAAUGUGCUCUUUCAAAUAUUUUAUGAUGGCUUUCAAGUUUUGAAUUUCAAGUUUUAAAAUUCUUUUGGAUUUUCAUUAUCUUUAUAUAAAAAAAAAAUAUUGCAGGUUUUUUUUUAAGGUGUUUUAAAAAUGGUUUUUGUGUGGUGACGUCAGAAUCCAGACCCCCGGAUUCUCGGGCCGUCACAGUUGGUAUCAGAGCAACAGGUUAUAAGUAUUUGAAAUUAGAAUAUAGAUCAUAGUUAUAGGUUUUCUAGAGAAGAAUGUGGUGUAACCUCACAUAGAGGUAUGGUCGGACUAUUUAGGAAUAGUCUAGAGAUGUGAGUGAAGCAUAGAGUUUAGUUAGAUGAUCAAGUUAAGUGUGGAUAUUUAAAGAGAUUAGGAUUCUUAAGUUUAGACGUAUGAUUUCUAGUAUGUUGAUUAAUUGAGAUGGUGAAUUGUGGAAAAGGUCAGUAUUAGACCUAGAUAGAAGAGUUUGAUAGUGAAUGAUUGAAUUGAGAAUGGUGAAAAUGCAGAGUUCAGAGUAUUCUGACUAUACUGCAUAUUUGAAAUUGGAUUAUUGUAUUGACUUGAGGAUGAUAUAAAUGCAUGGUUCAUAGUAUGUUGACCAUGUCAGAUAUUUGGGAGAUGUAUAUUGUUUUGAGUGAAGAUAUGAAGUGUAAGUGUAGAGUAUGAGUUGUAUUGGAUUAGAAGGAGAGAUUGGUAGAUAGAGGUUGAUAGGUGAGAAGUGAAUGAUAGAGAAUACGUGGAAUUGAGUCCAGUUAUUAGAGAUGAUGUCUACGAGUAAGUUAGAACGUUAGUCCUCGACGACAACGCUUCGAGCUAAUCGGGAUUUCAAAUGGCAUCAAGGUGGGCCCAUAACCCACAGGUUGAUGAUCCAGAUAAUCGACGAUAUGCUACGUGUUUUUGCUAUUUACUUCACAGAUAAUGGGGAUGAAGUGGAGGCCAAGACUUAUUACGAACGAUAACGUCUACUAUGAAUUUUACAAGGCUGCUACGAACGAACGUUAAUCAACUAUCAAGAACGUUGAAAAGAUGACAUAAAUCGAAUAAACGAUUUCGUAAAGUAGAGUGGGAAUUUGAGAAGACCUUGGCAAUACCUCUCUUCAACUAAAGGUUCUUUUGAUUGUUUUCUCAUCAGUGAGAUAUUAUCAUGAUAUCUUUUCUACAAAAGUUUUGAUAAAUGAGAUCUUCAAUUUCUCAAAUUCUAAGAUGACAUUGGUAUUGAUUAUUGGUAUGAGUUGGAAAGCAAAGAUGUGUGAUAAAGGUUUGUUGUAAAGAGAUAGUGAUGUUCCUUGAUAUUGUUUGACAUUUCUUGACAUUCCUUGAUACCCUUUCAUCUACCUUGAUAUCCCUUAGUGUUCUUUGAUAUUGUUGAUAUUCAUUGAUAUUCUCUGAUAUUCCUUAACAUUUCUUCAAUUUGAUUGGGAUGAACAACCCUAUUUAUAGGGGACACAAGGUAUACCUGUCUGUGUGAUAGGAGUUGGAUGGGACGCCAUCACUUGUGUGUGUUGUGAUUACAAGAAGGUUAACAACCUUUAGUAGUGUCUAAUGUGGACACGCAACACCAAGUUCGUUGAUCAUAUAGAUCUCUCAGUCACUCCUUUAUUCAAAUGUGAUCUACCUUGAAAACAUUUUGUUCUAUUCAAAAUUCCACAAGAUUGAUUCUUGGGAAAUGAAUUUUGCAAUUGUAAAAGUUUGAUUUUCCUUUUUCAUUAAAGUUAAAGGUAUGCCAAGAUCAACCAAAGGUGAAUGACGAUAUGAUAUUACGAAGCGUGUACGUUUUAGUUUCUUCGGAGGAUUCCGAGGACGGAAUCCUUAUAAGGGGGGUAGAAUGUAAUAUCCCAUAUUAUUAAAUUUAGAUGUGAUUAUUAUAAAUCUAUUUGUCUAGAUAUUAUUGUUGGCUCUAGUUGAAUAUUGAUAUGAUUAUGUGAAUAGUUGUAUGUGAUUAUACUUGUUAUGUGGAUUAAUAUGGAUUUUACAGAUUAUGCAUCCUCCUUCUUUUUCUGAUUCCGAGGACGGAAUCCCUAUAAGGAGGGUAGAUUGUAAUGACCUGGAUUUUUAAAAAUAUUUUUAUUAGUAUUAAAAGUGAUUUUUCUUAAAAAGAAGGGAAUAAGAUUUAAUAUUUUAUUCCAGUUUAAUGAGUUUUCAAAGUUUUAUAUUAAACCCCGGGUUAUUGUGUUAUUGAUAAAUAAUUGUAUUUUUAAAACUGAUUUUCAUAUAUUGUUUUGAAAAUUUUAGAUGAUUAUUAUGUGAAUAUAUGUGUGAUGUGAGUAAGUGGUAUUGGUGGAUUUGUUGGUUAAUUAAUUAUGGUUAAUUAUGAGUAUUAUAUGAUUAAUAUAUGAAUUUUUGUGAAUUUUAUAUUAUCUGGUUUAUUGCGUUAACUGCUCAUAUGUGUUCGUAUUUGAGAGAUUUCAAAUUCUAUAUGCUCAGGAGAAAAUAUAGUUUAUUUGGAUAUUUUCAUAUCGAUUUAUGGAAUGUUAGAUGAUUUUAUAAUCGAUUUACGGAUUUAAUUGUGUAUAUUUAUAUUUAUUUAUUAAUUAUGUGACUUCCGUAAAACCGUCCACUCGUAACGGUGUAGCGAUUUUUCUUCCCGGAAGUUUCGAGAAAACUUACCUUUAGCCUAAUUUCAAUAUUCCGGACAUUUUUCGUGUUUUGACUUUUUCGAUCCGGAGUACGGUUUUCCCCGGAGUCGGUCCGGCGGAGUUUUUCGGGUAUUUUAAUUGUUGAUAAUUAUCCAGUUUGUCUCGAUAAGCGUGAAACGAGAUAUUUUGAUUAUUAUAUUCAUCCUUAUCUUGUAAUAAUUGCAAUGGGACCCGCAGACCAAUAAUUGAGUUAAAAAGCCCCGUUUUGAUGAUUAUCUCGAAAACCGGUACCGAUUGGACCCCGCUUUAUUAAUAUAAAGCUAUUAAAUACGUAUUUUCAUGUCAUAAACGAUCCAAAGGGGUACCAAUUAUUUGUAAAUAUAAAUAGACUUUCCUGUAACUUAUUUUCACCGUAGAAAUCAUUUCAACAGUUUCUCUGCACGAAUAUCGAGAGAAACCGAGCGGUGUUCUUCGUGUUCUUCAUAAUCAAACGAAGAUUUGAAGGUGUUAUUGGAAUCCGAUGGAGGCGUAUAAAUAGUCAAAACGAAGCUAUCGACGCGUAGAAUCAAGCUUAAUCAUCCGGUUAUAUGCAGAUUCAACAGGAUGUGGACGAGACGUGUACGCUCGAAGACGUCAGAAAGUCGGAAUGGUAUUGCAAAGCGAAUAAGGGAUGAUUGAGUAAGCGAAGCGAAGUGGCGAAUAGAGUAUAGCUAGAGAUGGUCUAGAGAUUACGAGAUGCAUAGAUUGUGAAAGUUGAAAGAUGAGGUUGAGCUAUGAAACUGGAGUCAGAUUUAAGGCAAGUAUCCUAAACCUUUCUCUUGGAUAUAUUGCAAAUAUUCUGAUCCAUUCCUUUGGUAUCUGUUGCAAGAAUUCGUACCUUUCCUUUCUAUAUUUAAAAGUGCAUAUGUUCGGAUCUAUUCUUUCUAUUCUUCAAGUUUCUAAAGAAUUUCCAUUUUAUUAAUUAAUUCGAAGUUCAGAUUGUCAUUGAAGCAUGUGUUGCUCAGUGAUAGUUGGAGCUUUGAAUGAAUUGGGAUCUUCUUGAUUAUUCAACCCGCCAUUGUCAUGCUGGUUUAGCAGGCUAAAUUCAGUUGCUUAGCCGAUAAUGGAGGAUACUGAAUAGUUGAGGAUUUCCUGAACUGUGAUUUAUGAAAUGAUGGAUCAUGAUUUAUGAAUAGAUUAUUAUCAAAGUUUGAAUUGGAAUUAUUCUGUUGUUGAUGAUAUUUAUGAUGAUGUUCUGUUAAUUUACAUUGGCUUCUUGAAUUGAAUUAGAGAAUUGGAUUAUUGUUUUUAUAUAAACCUGUGGACCAGAUUCGUGGUCAUGUUAGGCCAAUGAGUGCCUUGGAUCCAGUGAUAGAGCAUGGCGGGGCCUGCUCGGGGUUAGUGCGGAACUGAUCAGCUGCCUAACCUUGGUUUUAAUUAAAAUGUGAUAGUCCAAUUCAAUAAUUCUUUGGAAAGAUUGAAUUUCUCAGUUUAAAUGCUGCAAGGUAUUGUAAAUCAUUCUAUACAAUACCAUGAACUCAUGAAAUCAGGUUGAAUCCUCUUAUAUCUUGAACUCGUGAACUUUUGUUAUAUCAUUUCAGAACUAUCAUUGUUUAUUAUUACUUGCUGAGCAUUGUUGCUCACCCUUGCUAUUCCUUUCUAACCAUUUCAGAAAGGCUUAAAGUUGAGAUGAUUGAUUGAGAUUGUGGAUAAGGCUAAUGCUAGGCGAGGAGACAGAGUUGAGGAUCCAGUGGUUGAGGAGUGUUCAGGAAAGUUGAUGAGGUUGGUGCAAGCUAGAGCUGUGCUAUAGGGUUUCAAGUGUAAGUCAUAGCUGGAAUAGUUGACAGUGAUUCCUCUUAUCGAAGAUGAUCUGAUUUGGUAAGAAAUGCUGUGUAAUAUUAGUGGUGGAUUCUAAUUUCAAUACUGUAACCUGGAUGCGAUCCUGUUGUUUUAGGGGGUUGAAAUGUGCUCUUUCAAAUAUUUUAUGAUGGCUUUCAAGUUUUGAAUUUCAAGUUUUAAAAUUCUUUUGGAUUUUCAUUAUCUUUAUAUAAAAAAAAAAUAUUGCAGGUUUUUUUUUAAGGUGUUUUAAAAAUGGUUUUUGUGUGGUGACGUCAGAAUCCAGACCCCCGGAUUCUCGGGCCGUCACAGUUGGUAUCAGAGCAACAGGUUAUAAGUAUUUGAAAUUAGAAUAUAGAUCAUAGUUAUAGGUUUUCUAGAGAAGAAUGUGGUGUAACCUCACAUAGAGGUAUGGUCGGACUAUUUAGGAAUAGUCUAGAGAUGUGAGUGAAGCAUAGAGUUUAGUUAGAUGAUCAAGUUAAGUGUGGAUAUUUAAAGAGAUUAGGAUUCUUAAGUUUAGACGUAUGAUUUCUAGUAUGUUGAUUAAUUGAGAUGGUGAAUUGUGGAAAAGGUCAGUAUUAGACCUAGAUAGAAGAGUUUGAUAGUGAAUGAUUGAAUUGAGAAUGGUGAAAAUGCAGAGUUCAGAGUAUUCUGACUAUACUGCAUAUUUGAAAUUGGAUUAUUGUAUUGACUUGAGGAUGAUAUAAAUGCAUGGUUCAUAGUAUGUUGACCAUGUCAGAUAUUUGGGAGAUGUAUAUUGUUUUGAGUGAAGAUAUGAAGUGUAAGUGUAGAGUAUGAGUUGUAUUGGAUUAGAAGGAGAGAUUGGUAGAUAGAGGUUGAUAGGUGAGAAGUGAAUGAUAGAGAAUACGUGGAAUUGAGUCCAGUUAUUAGAGAUGAUGUCUACGAGUAAGUUAGAACGUUAGUCCUCGACGACAACGCUUCGAGCUAAUCGGGAUUUCAAAUGGCAUCAAGGUGGGCCCAUAACCCACAGGUUGAUGAUCCAGAUAAUCGACGAUAUGCUACGUGUUUUUGCUAUUUACUUCACAGAUAAUGGGGAUGAAGUGGAGGCCAAGACUUAUUACGAACGAUAACGUCUACUAUGAAUUUUACAAGGCUGCUACGAACGAACGUUAAUCAACUAUCAAGAACGUUGAAAAGAUGACAUAAAUCGAAUAAACGAUUUCGUAAAGUAGAGUGGGAAUUUGAGAAGACCUUGGCAAUACCUCUCUUCAACUAAAGGUUCUUUUGAUUGUUUUCUCAUCAGUGAGAUAUUAUCAUGAUAUCUUUUCUACAAAAGUUUUGAUAAAUGAGAUCUUCAAUUUCUCAAAUUCUAAGAUGACAUUGGUAUUGAUUAUUGGUAUGAGUUGGAAAGCAAAGAUGUGUGAUAAAGGUUUGUUGUAAAGAGAUAGUGAUGUUCCUUGAUAUUGUUUGACAUUUCUUGACAUUCCUUGAUACCCUUUCAUCUACCUUGAUAUCCCUUAGUGUUCUUUGAUAUUGUUGAUAUUCAUUGAUAUUCUCUGAUAUUCCUUAACAUUUCUUCAAUUUGAUUGGGAUGAACAACCCUAUUUAUAGGGGACACAAGGUAUACCUGUCUGUGUGAUAGGAGUUGGAUGGGACGCCAUCACUUGUGUGUGUUGUGAUUACAAGAAGGUUAACAACCUUUAGUAGUGUCUAAUGUGGACACGCAACACCAAGUUCGUUGAUCAUAUAGAUCUCUCAGUCACUCCUUUAUUCAAAUGUGAUCUACCUUGAAAACAUUUUGUUCUAUUCAAAAUUCCACAAGAUUGAUUCUUGGGAAAUGAAUUUUGCAAUUGUAAAAGUUUGAUUUUCCUUUUUCAUUAAAGUUAAAGGUAUGCCAAGAUCAACCAAAGGUGAAUGACGAUAUGAUAUUACGAAGCGUGUACGUUUUAGUUUCUUCGGAGGAUUCCGAGGACGGAAUCCUUAUAAGGGGGGUAGAAUGUAAUAUCCCAUAUUAUUAAAUUUAGAUGUGAUUAUUAUAAAUCUAUUUGUCUAGAUAUUAUUGUUGGCUCUAGUUGAAUAUUGAUAUGAUUAUGUGAAUAGUUGUAUGUGAUUAUACUUGUUAUGUGGAUUAAUAUGGAUUUUACAGAUUAUGCAUCCUCCUUCUUUUUCUGAUUCCGAGGACGGAAUCCCUAUAAGGAGGGUAGAUUGUAAUGACCUGGAUUUUUAAAAAUAUUUUUAUUAGUAUUAAAAGUGAUUUUUCUUAAAAAGAAGGGAAUAAGAUUUAAUAUUUUAUUCCAGUUUAAUGAGUUUUCAAAGUUUUAUAUUAAACCCCGGGUUAUUGUGUUAUUGAUAAAUAAUUGUAUUUUUAAAACUGAUUUUCAUAUAUUGUUUUGAAAAUUUUAGAUGAUUAUUAUGUGAAUAUAUGUGUGAUGUGAGUAAGUGGUAUUGGUGGAUUUGUUGGUUAAUUAAUUAUGGUUAAUUAUGAGUAUUAUAUGAUUAAUAUAUGAAUUUUUGUGAAUUUUAUAUUAUCUGGUUUAUUGCGUUAACUGCUCAUAUGUGUUCGUAUUUGAGAGAUUUCAAAUUCUAUAUGCUCAGGAGAAAAUAUAGUUUAUUUGGAUAUUUUCAUAUCGAUUUAUGGAAUGUUAGAUGAUUUUAUAAUCGAUUUACGGAUUUAAUUGUGUAUAUUUAUAUUUAUUUAUUAAUUAUGUGACUUCCGUAAAACCGUCCACUCGUAACGGUGUAGCGAUUUUUCUUCCCGGAAGUUUCGAGAAAACUUACCUUUAGCCUAAUUUCAAUAUUCCGGACAUUUUUCGUGUUUUGACUUUUUCGAUCCGGAGUACGGUUUUCCCCGGAGUCGGUCCGGCGGAGUUUUUCGGGUAUUUUAAUUGUUGAUAAUUAUCCAGUUUGUCUCGAUAAGCGUGAAACGAGAUAUUUUGAUUAUUAUAUUCAUCCUUAUCUUGUAAUAAUUGCAAUGGGACCCGCAGACCAAUAAUUGAGUUAAAAAGCCCCGUUUUGAUGAUUAUCUCGAAAACCGGUACCGAUUGGACCCCGCUUUAUUAAUAUAAAGCUAUUAAAUACGUAUUUUCAUGUCAUAAACGAUCCAAAGGGGUACCAAUUAUUUGUAAAUAUAAAUAGACUUUCCUGUAACUUAUUUUCACCGUAGAAAUCAUUUCAACAGUUUCUCUGCACGAAUAUCGAGAGAAACCGAGCGGUGUUCUUCGUGUUCUUCAUAAUCAAACGAAGAUUUGAAGGUGUUAUUGGAAUCCGAUGGAGGCGUAUAAAUAGUCAAAACGAAGCUAUCGACGCGUAGAAUCAAGCUUAAUCAUCCGGUUAUAUGCAGAUUCAACAGGAUUUGGACGAGACGUGUACGCUCGAAGACGUCAGAAAGUCGGAAUGGUAUUGCAAAGCGAAUAAGGGAUGAUUGAGUAAGCGAAGCGAAGUGGCGAAUAGAGUAUAGCUAGAGAUGGUCUAGAGAUUACGAGAUGCAUAGAUUGUGAAAGUUGAAAGAUGAGGUUGAGCUAUGAAACUGGAGUCAGAUUUAAGGCAAGUAUCCUAAACCUUUCUCUUGGAUAUAUUGCAAAUAUUCUGAUCCAUUCCUUUGGUAUCUGUUGCAAGAAUUCGUACCUUUCCUUUCUAUAUUUAAAAGUGCAUAUGUUCGGAUCUAUUCUUUCUAUUCUUCAAGUUUCUAAAGAAUUUCCAUUUUAUUAAUUAAUUCGAAGUUCAGAUUGUCAUUGAAGCAUGUGUUGCUCAGUGAUAGUUGGAGCUUUGAAUGAAUUGGGAUCUUCUUGAUUAUUCAACCCGCCAUUGUCAUGCUGGUUUAGCAGGCUAAAUUCAGUUGCUUAGCCGAUAAUGGAGGAUACUGAAUAGUUGAGGAUUUCCUGAACUGUGAUUUAUGAAAUGAUGGAUCAUGAUUUAUGAAUAGAUUAUUAUCAAAGUUUGAAUUGGAAUUAUUCUGUUGUUGAUGAUAUUUAUGAUGAUGUUCUGUUAAUUUACAUUGGCUUCUUGAAUUGAAUUAGAGAAUUGGAUUAUUGUUUUUAUAUAAACCUGUGGACCAGAUUCGUGGUCAUGUUAGGCCAAUGAGUGCCUUGGAUCCAGUGAUAGAGCAUGGCGGGGCCUGCUCGGGGUUAGUGCGGAACUGAUCAGCUGCCUAACCUUGGUUUUAAUUAAAAUGUGAUAGUCCAAUUCAAUAAUUCUUUGGAAAGAUUGAAUUUCUCAGUUUAAAUGCUGCAAGGUAUUGUAAAUCAUUCUAUACAAUACCAUGAACUCAUGAAAUCAGGUUGAAUCCUCUUAUAUCUUGAACUCGUGAACUUUUGUUAUAUCAUUUCAGAACUAUCAUUGUUUAUUAUUACUUGCUGAGCAUUGUUGCUCACCCUUGCUAUUCCUUUCUAACCAUUUCAGAAAGGCUUAAAGUUGAGAUGAUUGAUUGAGAUUGUGGAUAAGGCUAAUGCUAGGCGAGGAGACAGAGUUGAGGAUCCAGUGGUUGAGGAGUGUUCAGGAAAGUUGAUGAGGUUGGUGCAAGCUAGAGCUGUGCUAUAGGGUUUCAAGUGUAAGUCAUAGCUGGAAUAGUUGACAGUGAUUCCUCUUAUCGAAGAUGAUCUGAUUUGGUAAGAAAUGCUGUGUAAUAUUAGUGGUGGAUUCUAAUUUCAAUACUGUAACCUGGAUGCGAUCCUGUUGUUUUAGGGGGUUGAAAUGUGCUCUUUCAAAUAUUUUAUGAUGGCUUUCAAGUUUUGAA